This is a small nucleolar RNA of Tachyglossus aculeatus (Australian echidna), 139 nucleotides long. The record is from RefSeq and is a predicted model, not a curated record. NCBI's taxonomy places the organism in Eukaryota, Metazoa, Chordata, Mammalia, Monotremata, Tachyglossidae.
ACACUCUCAGGGUCGUACUUGGAGAGGUUCCAAUAUUCUACCAGUCUCAACUACAGGAGGGAGAGUCAAGCAGAGGCAUUACCCAUUCCAUUCCUAGCUUGGUCAGUGGCUAGAGAGUGGAAGGCAAUCUGCUACCAGU